GAUGAACGCUGGCGGCGUGCCUAAUACAUGCAAGUCGAGCGAACGGACGAGAAGCUUGCUUCUCUGAUGUUAGCGGCGGACGGGUGAGUAACACGUGGAUAACCUACCUAUAAGACUGGGAUAACUUCGGGAAACCGUAGCUAAUACCGGAUAAUAUUUUGAACCGCAUGGUUCAAAAGUGAAAGACGGUCUUGCUGUCACUUAUAGAUGGAUCCGCGCUGCAUUAGCUAGUUGGUAAGGUAACGGCUUACCAAGGCAACGAUGCAUAGCCGACCUGAGAGGGUGAUCGGCCACACUGGAACUGGGACACGGUCCAGACUCCUACGGGAGGCAGCAGUAGGGAAUCUUCCGCAAUGGGCGAAAGCCUGACGGAGCAACGCCGCGUGAGUGAUGAAGGUCUUCGGAUCGUAAAACUCUGUUAUUAGGGAAGAACAUAUGUGUAAGUAACUGUGCACAUCUUGACGGUACCUAAUCAGAAAGCCACGGCUAACUACGUG
Molecule: ribosomal RNA, 497 nt
Filed under: uncultured bacterium
Lineage: Bacteria
Description: partial 16S ribosomal RNA
Rfam family: Bacterial small subunit ribosomal RNA
Source: RNAcentral